This 253-nucleotide ribosomal RNA is filed under the name uncultured bacterium. RNAcentral describes it as "partial 16S ribosomal RNA". It matches the Rfam family "Bacterial small subunit ribosomal RNA", at positions 524 to 776 of the family's 1533-position model. The record is from RNAcentral.
UACGAAGGGUGCAAACGUUGCUCGGAAUCACUGGGCGUAAAGGGUGCGUAGGCGGGUCUUUAAGUCAGGGGGGAAAUCCUGGAGCUCAACUCCAGAACUGCCUUUGAUACUGAGGAUCUUGAGUUCGGGAGAGGUGAGUGGAACUGCGAGUGUAGAGGUGAAAUUCGUAGAUAUUCGCAAGAACACCAGUGGCGAAGGCGGCUCACUGGCCCGAUACUGACGCUGAGGCACGAAAGCGUGGGGAGCAAACAGG